Molecule: ribosomal RNA, 253 nt
Filed under: uncultured bacterium
Lineage: Bacteria
Description: partial 16S ribosomal RNA
Rfam family: Bacterial small subunit ribosomal RNA
Source: RNAcentral
UACGUAGGGUGCAAGCGUUAAUCGGAAUUACUGGGCGUAAAGCGUGCGCAGGCGGUUUUGUAAGUCUGUCGUGAAAUCCCCGGGCUCAACCUGGGAAUUGCGAUGGAGACUGCAAGGCUAGAAUCUGGCAGAGGGGGGUAGAAUUCCACGUGUAGCAGUGAAAUGCGUAGAGAUCCGGAAGAACACCGGUGGCGAAGGCGGCCUGCUGGGACAGUGCUGACGUUGAGGCGCGACAGCGUGGGGAGCAAACAGG